RNAcentral lists this ribosomal RNA (856 nucleotides) under Mariannaea sp. Its description in RNAcentral is "LSU rRNA". It matches the Rfam family "Eukaryotic large subunit ribosomal RNA", at positions 67 to 955 of the family's 3401-position model. The record is from RNAcentral. Lineage: Eukaryota; Fungi; Ascomycota; Sordariomycetes; Hypocreales; Nectriaceae.
AACAGGGAUUGCCUCAGUAACGGCGAGUGAAGCGGCAACAGCUCAAAUUUGAAAUCUGGCCCUCGGGUCCGAGUUGUAAUUUGCAGAGGAUGCUUUUGGCGAGGUGCCUUCCGAGUUCCCUGGAACGGGACGCCAUAGAGGGUGAGAGCCCCGUCUGGUCGGACACCAAUCCUAUGUAAAGCUCCUUCGACGAGUCGAGUAGUUUGGGAAUGCUGCUCUAAAUGGGAGGUAUAUGUCUUCUAAAGCUAAAUACCGGCCAGAGACCGAUAGCGCACAAGUAGAGUGAUCGAAAGAUGAAAAGCACUUUGAAAAGAGAGUUAAACAGUACGUGAAAUUGUUGAAAGGGAAGCGCUCAUGACCAGACUUGGGCUUGGUUGAUCAACCUGGGUUCUCCCGGGCGCACUCUUCCUCGUCCAGGCCAGCAUCAGUUCGCUGCGGGGGAUAAAGGUUUCGGGAAUGUGGCUCCCUCGGGAGUGUUAUAGCCCGUUGCGUAAUACCCUGCGGUGGACUGAGGUCCGCGUUCUGCAAGGAUGCUGGCGUAAUGGUCAUCAGCGACCCGUCUUGAAACACGGACCAAGGAGUCGUCUUCGUAUGCGAGUGUUCGGGUGUUAAACCCCUACGCGGAAUGAAAGUGAACGCAGGUGAGAGCUUCGGCGCAUCAUCGACCGAUCCUGAUGUUCUCGGAUGGAUUUGAGUAAGAGCAUACGGGGCCGGACCCGAAAGAAGGUGAACUAUGCCUGUAUAGGGUGAAGCCAGAGGAAACUCUGGUGGAGGCUCGCAGCGGUUCUGACGUGCAAAUCGAUCGUCAAAUAUGGGCAUGGGGGCGAAAGACUAAUCGAACCUUCUAGUAGCUGGU